Molecule: long non-coding RNA, 232 nt
Filed under: Elaeis guineensis (African oil palm)
Lineage: Eukaryota; Viridiplantae; Streptophyta; Magnoliopsida; Arecales; Arecaceae
Description: long non-coding RNA (EGUI_LNC016963)
Source: RNAcentral
GCAGGAGGAGCUGUAAUUCAGGAGGAUCUUUAGAUAUGGACCAUUUUGGCCACUAUAAGUAAGAGAUAGAUAGGUUUUAAGAGCAAGAUCUGCUAUAUAAAGAAGCCUAAUUGCAUGUCAAAUUUUAGGAGGCUAUAAUUUGAUCAUACGACACCUGAUUGAAAUGAUUUUUUGUUUUUUGAAUUUUGGUGUCUUUUCGAGAUCCAUAACUUUAGGCCAGCCCCUGAGGGAG